RNAcentral lists this ribosomal RNA (508 nucleotides) under uncultured bacterium. Its description in RNAcentral is "partial 16S ribosomal RNA". It matches the Rfam family "Bacterial small subunit ribosomal RNA", at positions 28 to 507 of the family's 1533-position model. The record is from RNAcentral.
GACGAACGCUGGCGGCGUGCCUAAUACAUGCAAGUCGAACGCUUCUUUCCUCCCGAGUGCUUGCACUCAAUUGGAAAGAGGAGUGGCGGACGGGUGAGUAACACGUGGGUAACCUACCCAUCAGAGGGGGAUAACACUUGGAAACAGGUGCUAAUACCGCAUAACAGUUUAUGCCGCAUGGCAUAAGAGUGAAAGGCGCUUUCGGGUGUCGUUGAUGGAUGGACCCGCGGUGCAUUAGCUAGUUGGUGAGGUAACGGCUCACCAAGGCCACGAUGCAUAGCCGACCUGAGAGGGUGAUCGGCCACACUGGGACUGAGACACGGCCCAGACUCCUACGGGAGGCAGCAGUAGGGAAUCUUCGGCAAUGGACGAAAGUCUGACCGAGCAACGCUGCGUGAGUGAAGAAGGUUUUCGGAUCGUAAAACUCUGUUGUUAGAGAAGAACAAGGACGUUAGUAACUGAACGUCCCCUGACGGUAUCUAACCAGAAAGCCACGGCUAACUACGUG